This 492-nucleotide ribosomal RNA is filed under the name uncultured bacterium. RNAcentral's name for it is "partial 16S ribosomal RNA". It matches the Rfam family "Bacterial small subunit ribosomal RNA", at positions 29 to 507 of the family's 1533-position model. The record is from RNAcentral.
AGUGAACGCUGGCGGUAGGCCUAACACAUGCAAGUCGAACGGCAGCACAGUAAGAGCUUGCUCUUACGGGUGGCGAGUGGCGGACGGGUGAGGAAUACAUCGGAAUCUACUUUUUCGUGGGGGAUAACGUAGGGAAACUUACGCUAAUACCGCAUACGACCUACGGGUGAAAGCAGGGGAUCUUCGGACCUUGCGCGAUUGAAUGAGCCGAUGUCGGAUUAGCUAGUUGGCGGGGUAAAGGCCCACCAAGGCGACGAUCCGUAGCUGGGCUGAGAGGAUGAUCAGCCACACUGGAACUGAGACACGGUCCAGACUCCUACGGGAGGCAGCAGUGGGGAAUAUUGGACAAUGGGCGCAAGCCUGAUCCAGCCAUACCGCGUGGGUGAAGAAGGCCUUCGGGUUGUAAAGCCCUUUUGUUGGGGAAGAAAAACAGCAGGUUAAUCCCCCGCUGUUCUGACGGUACCCAAAGAAUAAGCACCGGCUAACUUCGUG